This 191-nucleotide non-coding RNA is filed under the name Vibrio cholerae MZO-2. RNAcentral's name for it is "6S / SsrS RNA". It matches the Rfam family "6S / SsrS RNA". From Rfam's summary of the family: E. coli 6S RNA was the first non coding RNA to be sequenced, but its function was unknown until recently. It consists of 184 nucleotides that fold into an extended hairpin structure with a large single-stranded internal bulge. The record is from Rfam by way of RNAcentral. Lineage: Bacteria; Pseudomonadati; Pseudomonadota; Gammaproteobacteria; Vibrionales; Vibrionaceae.
UUUACCCUGGGGGGGUUCGUCAGCGGAUUUAUGUCCCUGAGCCGAAUAAGCAACAUAACAGGGUUGGUAUUGGGGUAGCUAUUGAGCAAGCUCGGCUUGUACCCGAGAAGCCUGCGGUUACCAUUACUGAUCCCGCCUUGAACCUGAUGGUUCAAGGGCUACGAUCCUUCAACGGCAUUCCCGGGGUUCCC